This 228-nucleotide ribosomal RNA is filed under the name uncultured bacterium. RNAcentral's name for it is "partial 16S ribosomal RNA". It matches the Rfam family "Bacterial small subunit ribosomal RNA", at positions 29 to 261 of the family's 1533-position model. The record is from RNAcentral.
AUUAACGCUGGCGGCGUGCAUGAGACAUGCAAGUCGAACGGACGGGCGAGCUUGCUCGCCCGUUAGUGGCGGACGGCUGAGUAACGCGUGGGUGACCUGCCCCGAAGUGGGGAAUAACUGCCCGAAAGGGUGGCUAAUACCGCAUGUGGUGACUGGUUCGUUCCAGUCUCCAAAGCCGCAAGGCGCUUCGGGAGGGCCUGCGUCCGAUUAGCUCGUUGGUGGGGUAAC